GACAGAGGGUGCAAACGUUGUUCGGAAUUACUGGGCGUAAAGCGAGUGUAGGCGGUGUGGUAAGUCGGAUGUGAAAGCCCCGGGCUCAACCCGGGAAGUGCACUCGAUACUGCCACGCUAGAGUAUCGGAGAGGUUGGUGGAAUUCUCGGUGUAGAGGUGAAAUUCGUAGAUUUCGAGAGGAACACCGGUGGCGAAGGCGGUUCUCUGGGCAUGUCCUGACGCUGAGGAGCGAAAGUGUGGGGAGCGAACAGG
RNAcentral lists this ribosomal RNA (253 nucleotides) under uncultured bacterium. Its description in RNAcentral is "partial 16S ribosomal RNA". It matches the Rfam family "Bacterial small subunit ribosomal RNA", at positions 524 to 776 of the family's 1533-position model. The record is from RNAcentral.